UCGAGCGGAACGAGUUAACUGAACCUUCGGGGAACGUUAACGGCGUCGAGCGGCGGACGGGUGAGUAAUGCCUGGGAAAUUGCCCUGAUGUGGGGGAUAACCAUUGGAAACGAUGGCUAAUACCGCAUAAUAGCUUCGGCUCAAAGAGGGGGACCUUCGGGCCUCUCGCGUCAGGAUAUGCCCAGGUGGGAUUAGCUAGUUGGUGAGGUAAGGGCUCACCAAGGCGACGAUCCCUAGCUGGUCUGAGAGGAUGAUCAGCCACACUGGAACUGAGACACGGUCCAGACUCCUACGGGAGGCAGCAGUGGGGAAUAUUGCACAAUGGGCGCAAGCCUGAUGCAGCCAUGCCGCGUGUAUGAAGAAGGCCUUCGGGUUGUAAAGUACUUUCAGCAGUGAGGAAGGUUCAUGCGUUAAUAGCGUAUGGAUUUGACGUUAGCUGCAGAAGAAGCACCGGCUAACUCCGUGCCAGCAGCCGCGGUAAUACGGAGGGUGCGAGCGUUAAUCGGAAUUACUGGGCGUAAAGCGCAUGCAGGUGGUUUGUUAAGUCAGAUGUGAAAGCCCGGGGCUCAACCUCGGAAUUGCAUUUGAAACUGGCAGACUAGAGUACUGUAGAGGGGGGUAGAAUUUCAGGUGUAGCGGUGAAAUGCGUAGAGAUCUGAAGGAAUACCGGNGGCGAANGCGNCCCCCUGGACAGAUACUGACNCUCAGAUGCGAAAGCGUGGGGAGCAAACAG
This 733-nucleotide ribosomal RNA is filed under the name Vibrio sp. HR08-40. Its description in RNAcentral is "bacterial SSU rRNA". It matches the Rfam family "Bacterial small subunit ribosomal RNA", at positions 62 to 775 of the family's 1533-position model. Lineage: Bacteria; Pseudomonadati; Pseudomonadota; Gammaproteobacteria; Vibrionales; Vibrionaceae. The record is from RNAcentral.